GCAGUCGCACGAGAAAGCUUCCUUCGGGAAGUGAGUACAGUGGCGAACGGGUGAUUAACGCGUGGGUAACGUGCCCUUCGGUGGGGGAUAACCAUGGGAAACUGUGGCUAAUACCGCACUCGCUUCACGAUGCCAAGUGUCGUGAAGGAAAGAUUGCCUCUGCAUACGCAAUCGCCGAAGGAGCGGCCCGCGUCCCAUUAGCUAGUUGGUGGGGUAAUGGCCUACCAAGGCGGCGAUGGGUAGCCGGCCUGAGAGGGUGAUCGGCCACACUGGGACUGAGACACGGCCCAGACUCCUACGGGAGGCUGCAGUGGGGAAUUUUGCGCAAUGAGCGAAAGCUUGACGCAGCGAUGCCGCGUGCGGGAUGAAGGCCUUCGGGUCGUAAACCGCUGUCGCGAGGGACGAAUAUCCGCAGGAUGAAUAAGCCUGCGGCCUGACGGUACCUCGUGAGAAAGCCCCGGCUAACUCCGUGCCAGCAGCCGCGGUAAUACGGAGGGGGCCAGCGUUGUUCGGAAUCACUGG
This 522-nucleotide ribosomal RNA is filed under the name uncultured Actinomycetes bacterium. RNAcentral's name for it is "bacterial SSU rRNA". It matches the Rfam family "Bacterial small subunit ribosomal RNA", at positions 57 to 557 of the family's 1533-position model. Lineage: Bacteria; Bacillati; Actinomycetota; Actinomycetes. The record is from RNAcentral.